GCGCGGCGCUCCCUCCCCCGGACAGCUGAUUCAUUGGCUCGGCCGCCCAGACUGCCUGGCGCCGGCCGCGUGACGUCACCCAUUCACGGAGCCCGCCUGCCCCCUCUGCUGGCGCCGGCCGGGCGGUCGCCAUGGCAACGCAGACGCCAGCCUGCACAAUGAUUUCCAGCUGGAGAGGCCUAGCCAGCCUGCGCGCUCCCUGGCUCGCUCGCGCCCGGCUUCGCUGCGCUGGAUUUCUUGCUUCAAAACAGCUGCAUUUUUGGAAGAAAGUCCACAACUGACAACUAAGCGAAACCCUCCUGGUGGGUAGCAUAAAUCUGCUUUGUUGAAGCUGUUCAUCUGUCUGAUCUGAAAACAAAGGGAAAGGCAGCUACAGAAAGCAAUUGAUGUCCCUGCACAGGUUGGGGUUGAUAUGCAAAUGUAUAAACACCAUGUUUCCAUUCUUGAGCCAGAAUGCCUUCCCUUUGGCUCUUCAUAAUCAAAUAGAAGUCAGGAUGUAGUUUAUGGAUUUAAUCUCCAGCAUUGUGAUCCAUGGGCCCUUCUGCAUUCCACUCUGGUAUACGGGACACAGUGGCAAGCCCCUCUAGCUCCUGUCUGGUCCAUGGGGAUAGGUUACAUACCCUUUGCUAGAGAGCGAAGAUAAAUCCUGGUGUCACUUUGAACCUGCUUUCACGGGCUGCUUCAGCUUUUUCAGGGCUGAGUCAGGAACCAGUCCUCUGCAUCCUCCAACUGAGGGAAACCCAUUUCUAGAUCUUCACAUGGUCCAGCCUGCGCUUGAGGUGACAGAAAAUGCUUUCUCCUCCACCCCACCGCUUUCUGAAUGGGCAGACUCAACCAUAGCACUGUCGUCUGCAGAAGAAUCUCUUUACCAUUGCUUCCUGUCUCCUCUGUCCAUUCUUUUGUAAGUGAGAGGCUUCAGGAGUUAUGGAACAAAGCCUUUUGUAACUCCGCAUUUAAAGAUCUGUUUCAUUCUUUAUGAUAUUUGACAUCUGAUUUUUAUGAAUGUCCUCUAAGCGGCAGCUAAGCAUUCACUGUCUUCUUCCUUUUGCUUCAUCAAGUACGGGGGACACUGGAAGGAAGAGGCACAUGACUACUCCCCUAACUAUGAGAUAUUGGCACCUUAGUUGAGAGCAAGAUAUGAUGAGGCCUGAUUUGACAUCUGGUUAUACUUCCCACAUUGUGUAAUACUGCUGUAGUGACAGCAAUUCAGAUGUAGUAAUUUGUGUUUUGCCCCUAUUAUAGUAAGUCAGAUGGCAUUUUGCAGCUGUUUACUCUUUACAUACGUGAAGGUUAAUUCACCCCAGGGGUUAUUUUUUCUGAUGUAAGAAUCUUAAUUUUCUUAACUUUUCCCCUAAGUGUCACAUGCCAUUCUUCUGAUUUUUAUGAAUAUCCUCUAAGAGGCAACUAAGCACUCACUGUCUUCUUCCUUUUGCUUCAUCAAGUAUGAGGGACACUGGAAGGAAGAGCUACCUCAUACAUUUUAUACUGACUUACAUCUUAGAGAAGUUUAUCUUGGGUUGAAAUUGGGAUUUGAAGAGAGGCUUACCUGACUUAGGUUUGUCUGAGAACGCUGGUUAUGUCCCUUGAUGUCUGAUUCCUUCUCAAAAUAGAGCUCCCGUGUCUCAAAAACCAACCAUGGUUUUCUGUUUGGUUCCCUACCAAAGAAAAUACUGUCUGUUCCAGUGAGUCAAAUGUAAGACUGUCUGUGCCAGUCCAUUAAAACAAAUCAUCCAGUUGCUGUUAAUACAUGACCGUUUCCAAGGGCAAAUCCAAAGGAUU
Long non-coding RNA from Sapajus apella (tufted capuchin), 1779 nucleotides. RefSeq lists it as uncharacterized. The transcript is spliced from 4 exons. NCBI's taxonomy places the organism in Eukaryota, Metazoa, Chordata, Mammalia, Primates, Cebidae. The record is from RefSeq and is a predicted model, not a curated record.